AUACUUACCUGGACGGGGUCAAUGGGUGAUCAAGAAGGCCCAUGGCCUAGGUUGGUGACUUCCAUUGCACUUAGGUGGGGUGCCCGCCUAAGGUCGGCCCAAGUGGUCGAGCCUACGUCGUAAUUUGUGGUAGUGGGGGCCUGCGUUCGCGCGGCCCCUGC
RNAcentral lists this small nuclear RNA (161 nucleotides) under Olea europaea subsp. europaea. RNAcentral's name for it is "U1 spliceosomal RNA". It matches the Rfam family "U1 spliceosomal RNA". From Rfam's summary of the family: U1 is a small nuclear RNA (snRNA) component of the spliceosome (involved in pre-mRNA splicing). Its 5' end forms complementary base pairs with the 5' splice junction, thus defining the 5' donor site of an intron. The record is from Rfam by way of RNAcentral. Lineage: Eukaryota; Viridiplantae; Streptophyta; Magnoliopsida; Lamiales; Oleaceae.